AAAAUUAGUGGAGAUUUAUGGAACAAAAACAUACGUGAUAAAGUAUGAUUUAUCCAUAAUAUGCAUGCUAAACCAUAUUGUGUUGCCUAUUUUCAAAGAACAAGCCUGGUUUAUUUUUUGCUAUCAUCAAUUUUAUGUCCAAAAUUAACUUCAAUAGUACAAGAAGACUGAUAAAGUACUGUAAGUUUUUGGGGAUCAAAACCAUGAGCCCGAAGAUCUCCCAUGACCUAAUAAAUGCUGAAAUAACAACAUCAUGCGUAUGUGAAAUUCAAGGAAAGGAUUUCGUACCUGCUUCUUGCUGCCCUUUGAGAUGAAACAUGGAGGAGAGAAAGUUAAUUGAAGGUUUCUUCCUCUGCUAUACCCCUCUAUCAAUCCACCCUAUGAUGGCCUUCCAUCCAAUAGAGGGAGAUGAGAGAAGAGUGAUGGUGAGAAUGGGGAAUGGUGGUGCAAAAUGAGAGAGAGAGAAUGCAUAAUCUCUCAAUAGUUAUCCCAGACUAACUGAAUAAGUUGAUUAAACUGUCCUAUCAUAGCACCUCAUUAGUCCAAAAAAAAUAGAUCCAAUGGUCUUAACUCUCUCUCUCUCUCUCUCUCUAAGUUAAUUGGAUGGUCCGUAGAGUGAGACCUUACACCAUUGUUUAAAUUAGAUUUGGGUUCCACCCCAUCAUGGACACCAUAAAUAACCCUUAAUUGGGCACGAUAUAAACUACAAUGCUCCAUCAUUGUUGUCACUCAUAGGAUUUGAAAAUUGCAACCGAAUGGUCCAGAUUUAAGCACUCUCACUAAUACAACCAUCGGAUAUAAUGAAUUCCACAAUUAUGAAUUAAAAUCAUAAACAAUUUGAUAAAGAACAAUCUAUAAGGCCACAAAAUAGCCCCUAUGAAGUAUUAUCUUUCACUAUAACUCAUUAGGGUUUUUAGGCAGUAUUUAUUAGACUCAUGUUGAGUGUGGGUGACUUUGCUUUGAUCGAAGAGGCCUUCACUAAGACCUUCCUUUAUGCUGUUAUUUUACCUUCAAUUGGUAGAAUGACAUCUCUGUCUUUUAUCUUGUUUUGAAUGUAUGUCUUACUUGUUGAUUUGUCACCUAAGGUGAGCAUUGCUUUAAGGUGAUAGGGUGAGCAUUUUCUUAGCCAAAUUAAUUAGUUUCAUGGAUGACUUCUUUUCUCUUUCAGUUAUUGCUUCCUACUAAUAGUGUUGCUAUCUUCAAUAAUAUUGGAAUUGGAAUUACAACAGCCUGAAAAGAAUCUUGCCUCCUAGAGGAGUACUUAUUUGGGAGGAAGAUAUGCACUUGUAGUAUCUACUCUCUCAUUUUCCUGUCUAUAUAUCUUGUCUCCACUACUAAUAAUCUAACACUUGGAACUAAAAGUGCUUGGAGAAGUAACUUGCCUAUUGAGAGAGAACUGAUUGGGAGGAAGCUUUGCAUUUAAUACCCCACUAUUUCUUAUUUUCUAUUUAUCACAUUUCCUUCAAGAUGCAUUUAGUGAAUGUUUCUGGAGUUGAGAAAUCUCAAAGAGAUUUUCUUUUGACUGUUGUUUGGAGAUAUUGUUGUCUCCAUACUCAUACAUGGGUUUAAGUUAAAUGGUAUGGAAUGCAGGAAAUUGAAAAUUUGCUAAUCAAGCAAAAUGAAAGUAAUAGUUUAGGACAUGAAGUCAGGCGGACAGCCAGUCAUGAAAACCUGUCAACAACAAUGAAAUUAUCCAUAUUUGAUACGCAUGAACAUUGGGGUGUUCUCUGUAAAUAACAUCAGAAGUGGCUGUAAAUAGAAAUACUGGAUGAAUGAGGAUCUAUAAUGCUGACUCCAAAUAAUUGGGAAAAGGCUUGAUACGUGAAGUAUCAAUCUUGGAGCCUGGGUAGUCCAAAACACCACUUGUUCAUAGAAAUACAUAUUGGCAUGCUGGCUACUACCUCGAUCCAUCUCAAGCACUGAAAUCUGUCAUGAUUUUUUAUAAUUAAAAUGUGGUCAAGGUACUUGUAAAAUGCAUCCUGAUAUUCCUG
RNAcentral lists this long non-coding RNA (1991 nucleotides) under Phoenix dactylifera (date palm). Its description in RNAcentral is "long non-coding RNA (PDAC_LNC004072)". The record is from RNAcentral. Lineage: Eukaryota; Viridiplantae; Streptophyta; Magnoliopsida; Arecales; Arecaceae.